Molecule: ribosomal RNA, 491 nt
Filed under: uncultured bacterium
Lineage: Bacteria
Description: bacterial SSU rRNA
Rfam family: Bacterial small subunit ribosomal RNA
Source: RNAcentral
AGGAUUGAACGCUUAGCGGGAGGCCUAAUACCAUUGCAAGUCGAACGGUUAGCAGGUAGCAAUACGCUUGACCGAAGUUGGCGCACGGGUGCGUAACGCGUACACAAUCUGCCUUAUACUGGGGCAUAGCCUUUGGAAACGAAGAAUAAUUCCCCAUAACAUAUAGAAGAGGCAUCUCUUUUAUAUUAAAGCUCAGGCGGUAUAAGAUGAGUGUGCGUCCGAUUAGGUAGUUGGUGAGGUAACGGCUCACCAAGCCAACGAUCGGUAGCUGGUCUGAGAGGAUGAUCAGCCACACGGGCACUGAGACACGGGCCCGACUCCUACGGGAGGCAGCAGUAGGGAAUAUUUGGACAAUGGGCGCAAGCCUGAUCCAGCCAUCCCGCGUGAAGGAUGAAGGUCCUCUGGAUUGUAAACUUCUUUCUUCGGGAAUAAAAACUGGGGUUCUCCCCAGCUUGAAGGUACCGAAGGAAUAAGCACCGGCUAACUCCGUG